GAUGAACGCUGGCGGCGUGCCUAAUACAUGCAAGUCGAGCGAACAGACGAGGAGCUUGCUCCUCUGACGUUAGCGGCGGACGGGUGAGUAACACGUGGAUAACCUACCUAUAAGACUGGGAUAACUUCGGGAAACCGGAGCUAAUACCGGAUAAUAUAUUGAACCGCAUGGUUCAAUAGUGAAAGACGGUUUUGCUGUCACUUAUAGAUGGAUCCGCUCCGCAUUAGCUAGUUGGUAAGGUAACGGCUUACCAAGGCAACGAUGCGUAGCCGACCUGAGAGGGUGACCGGCCACACUGGAACUGAGAGUCGGUCCAGACUCCUACGGGAGGCAGCAGUAGGGAAUCUUCCGCAAUGGGCGAAAGCCUGACGGAGCAACGCCGCGUGAGUGAUGAAGGUCUUCGGAUCGUAAAACUCUGUUAUUAGGGAAGAACAAAUGUGUAAGUAACUAUGCACGUCUUGACGGUACCUAAUCAGAAAGCCACGGCUAACUACGUG
This 497-nucleotide ribosomal RNA is filed under the name uncultured bacterium. RNAcentral's name for it is "partial 16S ribosomal RNA". It matches the Rfam family "Bacterial small subunit ribosomal RNA", at positions 28 to 507 of the family's 1533-position model. The record is from RNAcentral.